This 205-nucleotide long non-coding RNA is filed under the name Rattus norvegicus (Norway rat). RNAcentral describes it as "long non-coding RNA NONRATT031969". The record is from RNAcentral. Lineage: Eukaryota; Metazoa; Chordata; Mammalia; Rodentia; Muridae.
AGAAGAUGGCAGUUGGCAUGUGUCCUUCACUUUGACAACUCUACUUCAGCUUUAUGCAGCUCAGUACAUCUUUACUACCACAGCAAGUGCUCUUACUGCUCUUGCACACAUGGAGCUGUACCCAGGAAGGUAGAGUGAUGGCAUGCAAAGCUACUCACAAUCUAAUCCUCUAUAGCUCUUACCAUGCCAAAAUCAAGAACAAAGA